RNAcentral lists this long non-coding RNA (6929 nucleotides) under Homo sapiens (human). Its description in RNAcentral is "HSALNT0271343". Lineage: Eukaryota; Metazoa; Chordata; Mammalia; Primates; Hominidae. The record is from RNAcentral.
CUUGUAUACUUUAGACUUCAUUUUAUAAAAUUACAUUUUUAAAACUUUUUACAUUUUUAGGAAAUACAUGUUAGCUAAAAAACUGUGUUUUGCUCCCUGCUACGUUUGCUUAUCCUAUCCUUCAUUACUCCUUGGAUUUUAGUCUAACUGGUCUUGGGACAUGCCUCUUCCCCACAAACACCCCCACCACCAUACCACAUUGCUGUGACACAUUUAGCUUGUUAAUGUGGUAAGAGUGGAGCUCACUUACAGAAUUUUUGCAGACUAGACCUUAGGCUACAGGUCUUUACCAUGGAGCAGAAAAGUGGUAUCUCAAACCUCAUCCACAAAGGUUGAUCUAGUCCAAGCCCCUCUCCAGGUUCAUGUCCAUGUACAGCUUUGUUCUUAUUGUAACAACCUACAUUUUAGAAUAGGCAACGAAGACCAUUACCAAGAGCAGUAGGAGGGGCAACCUUCGGCUGUUUGUUUUUCAGGAUCUCAACUUGUGAACUUACUCUUCUCUUCACAGAAUGGGAUAACUGCCUGGCACUCACCAAGCUACACUUGAAGAGGAUCAAUCCAUGUCAUCAUGUCCCCAAUUUCAUAGCACCAAGUAUUUUGUUUAUUCACAAAUGCCCUAUUAUGGACAUCUAGCAAACAAUGAUACAUCAGAAAAGGAGAUGUGCAUAAAUUUUCAUGGAAUAAGGGAUGCGCAUGAAAGAAUGUGCCACAGAAAAUGAGACACAUCAAUGAGGGUUGUGGAAAAUGCACUAGAAUCAACAAACAUGGGGACUAAUUCAACUCGGAUAUCAUGUCUUCAGAGAAGUUUCUCCUGCCCUCCUCUCCCUGUAGAAUUAAGUAUUCUUCCACUGUGCCACCCUCUAACUUGUGCUCAUAUCUUCCUCUAUUGUAGUUAUGUGUUCACAUCCCUGUUGUUUUUGUACCGGCUUCUCCCAAAGGGAGACAUUUAGUCUUAUUCUUCUUGGUAACUUUAGCACAGACCUGGCAGAUUGUUGACACUCAACAAAUGUUUAUUGACUCAAAUGCAUUCAGUUGAACAUUGACCUUUGAUCAACUCUGGGAAAAGUCUGCAAAGCUAGUUAGGACAUUCAGAAAUUCAUUUCAUUUCAAUCCUAACUAAAUAAAUUAUUGAAGUCUCAGAACUUCUCAGUACUUGAUUUAGACACAUAGAAACUUGGGUAAAUAACACCUAUAUUGUUAUAUUCCUCAAGAAAAAGUUUAUCUUUUCAUGAAAUGAAUCUACUGAGGAUAUUUAUAGAAACUGAAUGUAAGUGAGCAGAAUAAAGUGGUGUGUGUGUGUGUGUGUGUGUGUGUGUAUGUAAUUUGAAGAGUAGGUGGGAGAAGGUUGUGAUAGGAUAGCAGAUCUUGUUUAUGAUAGUCACCAGCUAUAACAGACACUGCCUGAUGCCUUUCCAAUAUCCACUUCCCUUUUCUUUUUUUUCUUUUUGGAACAGAGUCUCACUCUGUCCCCCAGGCUGGAGUGCAACAGCACGAUCUCGGCUUACUGCAUCCUCUGCCUCCUGGGUUCAAGCAAUUCUCAUGCCUCAGCCUCCCUAGUAGCUGGGAUUACAGGCUCUCGCCACCACGCCCAGCUAAUUUUUGUGUUUUUAGUAGAGACGGGGUUUCGCCAUGUUGGCCAGGCUAGUCUUGAACUCCUGACCUCAGGUGAUCCACCUGCCUCAGCCUCUCUAAGUGCUGGGAUUACAGGCGUGAGCCACCGUGCCUGGCUCUCUUUUCUUACUUAAUGUCUGUGUCAAUUAAAUAGAAAUGUAUCAAGUUAAAAACCUUGCCUCGGUAGCUUCCAGUGCAAAUAAAGGUACCCAUGCCACCCCAUUCUGGCCAGCAGUAAAAUUGAUGGAAGCCUCUGGUUGGGGCUUCAAGGAAAGCUUUAUCAAAAGAUAAACUCACUGGCUUUGUCCCUUAGUUCAGUGGUCCCCAACCUUUUUGGCACCAAGAGACCAGUUUUGUGGAAGACAAUUUUUUCCAUGGACCAGGAGGGUUCCGGGGGAUGGUUUUGGGAUGAAAAUGUUUCACCUUAGAUAUCAUCGGGCAUUCAAUUCUCAUAAGGAGCCUGCAACCUAGACCUCUCACAUGUGCAGUUCACAAUAGGGUUCAUGCUCCUAUGAGAAUCUAAUGCCACUGCUGAUCUGACAGGAGGCAGAGCUCAGGCAGUAAUGCUCACUAGUUCCGUUGCUCGCCUCCUGCUGUGCAGCCCAGUUCCUAACAGGACACAGACCAGUACUGGUUCGCAACCCAGGGUUUGGGGGCCCCUGUCUUAGUUCCUUUGCCUUCCUUCCAGAUGGAUGCCUGGAGGAACAAUCAUCCCGCAAUUGUGAAAAUUGAAGCCAUAUUUUAAAGUUGGUUUCAAUUGUAAUACAGAAGAAAUCUGGACCUUGAUGACAUUUGAGCUAGAGUACUAAUCUUGAUCUUCCUAUUCAUGAGCUUGUUGCAAGAGACAAGACUUUUACUGAUUUAACUCAUUGUUGGGAUUUCUUGGAACUAAACACAGUCAUAAUACAUUUUUUCCUUCCCAGGAAAAUGGUAGAGCAUGACUUUUCAAAUCUAAUAAAACUCAUGUGUAGCUAAAACCACUCUACUGAAACAAUUCCAUCUCAGCCCAUGGUACAAGGGAUUUUCCUGAAUGAAAAAUGGUGUCUGAUCAUUUUGUUGGUUUCUUUGUUGGUUUUUCCUGAAACUUAGGGUUAAAGAAUCCAGGAAAGUUGUCUUAGAUAGAGUUAUAAUUUCCGUGGACAUCAACUGAUAAAUGCAAUUACAGUUUGUAUGCCUAGGUUUGGCAAAAAUCAUAUAAGCAACAUCCCUCACAUAAUAUUGUUUUAAUUAAAUUUUAUUUCUUUCUUGGUAUGAAACAUACUGCAGAAGCACAAUCAAUGAACAUUGGAUAGUUUCCUUAAAUCUUGCUCUUUGUCCUAUUUAUAUAAUUUAUUGUGUCAGUGGUUCUCAAGUGGUAUGCUCCUGCAACUCAUCAUCUGAAAAUCCUUCCCAGAUGUGCUGAAAAAUUUUCAUUAAUUUGUAUAUUCUAUUUUAUUUUUAUAACUAAGUACACAUGCUUGUGACUGGAAGAGAAGACACCCCUCAUUUAAUCCCAGAGGAAUAUUUGGCCUUGAUUCAUGCCCUGCUCACUCCACCCCAUUAUUAAGAUAGAGAUCGCUGAAGAAAUCCCUGCUCUAUAAAUGUAGCUGAUCCAAAAACAAAAUGGAAAUUCAUUAUUUUAAAUAUUUCUACAAGAUCUUUGUACAACUCUAUUUUUUUUUCCUAUUAAGAAUUACAUGAUUCUAGAAUAAGUUCCAACCCUAAGUAUCAACACUGGAACACAAUUUUAAAACAGGAGGCGAUUAUCUCUAUAGUGAGAUUUAACUACAGAGGUGAUAGCUCUGGUUAGUGAAUUUCAGGACUAGAAAUCAGGCCUGCUGUCUCUUAGCUUAGAGGAGGUAUAAUAAGAAGAGGAUUAGAACUACUGUGUAUAUUAACAAGAAGAACUCUAUUAUGUUCAGCUAUCAUUAUAUAUGAUAUUAUGUUUCUUUUUAUGAACUAUAGUUCACUGUCUUUAAGCAUAAUGUUUGCCCAAGGUGGGGGUGUUGGUGUGUGUCUGUGUGUAUAUGCAUGUGUGCACAUGUGUGUAUGUAUAGUUGAUUCAUUCAUUCUGACCUACUGAAUUUACUGAAGGAAUAAGAAGAAAUACCUUGAACUGAGGGACCUGGCUUAGCUCAACAUCUGUACCAUCUACCUUUGAGUAUCCAUUCCUUUACUAUGAAGCAUGGAUGCUAAAACUAAAAUUGCAUUUGCUAAACUACUUUGUAGCUAGAUUCCUGGGUGAGAUUAGAUUUGGUCAAUUAGAUGUUCUUGUGUAACAUUUAGAAGGUGAUAGUAAGGCAAAGGUCAUGUGACUGGCUGAUUUUAUUUAUGUUCAAUGAUCUUUAUUGGGGUACACUUUAUAUAUAAUAAUAAAUAAUGCACACAUUUUAAGUGUACAAUUUGAUGAGUUCUGACAAAUUUAUAUGCAUGUAUAACCAGCAUCAAUAUCAAGAUAUAUAAUGAUCCCCUCAUUCCAGAAUAGUCUCUUGUGUUCUUUCCAGCCAAUGCCCCACCCCUGGAUUCUGGCAACAAUUGAUCUGCUUUUUAUUACCAUGGAUUAUAUUUGUCUUUCCUAGAGAUACAAAUAAAUGAAAUAAUGUAGUGUGUCCUCUUUAACUUUGGCUUAUUUCUCUCGGCACACUAUUUCUGAAAUUUGUCCAUACUGUUGAUAUGGCAGACAGAAUUUUAAGAUGGUUCCUAAAAUUCUUGCCUCCUGGUAUGUAUAAUUUUCUCUCGGUUUUCCGCUGAACACUAACCUAGGUGCUAUUGUAAAGGGAUUUCUCAAGUGUAAUUAAAGUCCCUAAUAAGUUUAUUUUAAGUUAGAAAAAUUUUCCCAGGUGAGCUUGAGCUAAGUGAGUGACCUAAGCAGGUGAGUUGUUAGAAAAAAAUUAAGAGAUAUUUGAAGCGUAGACAAAAUUCUGUUGGCUUUUAAAAGAAAACUUCCAUGUGAUAGAGAAAGCCAGAUGAUAGGGAACACAAGGUUACCUCUAAAUUGACAACCAGCAAAAAAGCUGAGACUUCAGUCUUAUCAUCAUAAGGAAUUGAAUUCUGUCAACAGCCACGUGACCUUAGAGGAGGCCCCUGAGCCGCAGAUGAGAUCAUGGCCCUGGCCAAUACCUUAAAUUCAUCCUGGUGAGAUAUGAGCAGAGAACUCAGCUAUGCCAUGCUCAGAUUUCUCACCUGUAGAGCAGUAAAUUAAUAAGUGAGCAUUAUUUGAAGCUGCUAAGUUUGUGGUGAUUUGUUACACAUCAAGAGAAAACAUAUGCUGUAUAUAUUAUUAGAUUUUUCCUUUAUAUUGGUGGGUGUAUUUGUUAUCUAUUACUUCCUAACAAAUCGACAAUAAUUAAGUGUCUUAAGACAACACAUAUUUAUUACCUCAUAGUUUCUGUGGGUCAGAAAUCUGGGCAUGGUUUAUGUGAGUUCUUUGAUUUAAAGUUGUUGGCAAAUCUGUAAACAAGGAAGCAGUCAGGACCGAGGUCUCAUCUGAAAGUCAACUUGGGAUGGGUCUGCUUCCAGCCUCACUUAACAUAACAGCUGGCAGGAUUCAGUUGCUCUUGGGUAGUUGGAUUGAUGGCCUCAGAUAACUAGGUAGCUAUUAGCUAGAUUUCACCCUCAGUUUGUUGCCGUGUGGGCCUCCCUAAGGUGGCAAUUUACUUCAUCAAAACCAGCAAGGGAGAGAGUUGGCUACAAUCUCUAGUAAUGUAGCUACAGAAAUGACAUCCCCUUAGCAAUGAGAUAUUUUAUUAAUUAGAAAGAAAUUACUCAACAGGAGGGGAUUACACAAUGUAGUGAAUACCAGGAGGCUGAGAUCAGAAGGAGCUAGUGUAGAAGCUGCCUACCACAGUGAGUAGUAUUCUAUUACAUGAAUAUACCAGAAUGUCUGAAUCCACCCAACUGGGCAUAGACGUUUGUGUUCAUUCAAGAUACAGACUAUUAUUAUUUUAAAAAUAAAAGUUACUAUGAACAUUUAAGUAUAAGCUUUUGUGUGGGCGUGUUUCAUUUGUUUUGAAUGAAAUUGCAGGGUCGCAUAGAAAAUGCAUAUUUAAUCUUAUAAGAAGCUGCUUAAAAUGCUUUGCAAUGUGAUUUUACCAUUUUACACUCCCAACAAUGUAUAGCAAUAUAUCAUAGAUCUAGUGGUUUCAUAUCUCCACAAACACUUGAUAUUGUCACUCAGUUUAAUUGUAGCUACUUAAAUAGGCUUAUAAUGGUACUCGUUAUGAUUUUAAUAUGCAUUUCCCUAAUGCCUAUUAGGGACUAAUUAUGUUAAGCAUCUUUUCAUGUAUUUGGAGGCCAUUUGUGUACCUUCAUUUGUAAAAUAUCUGUUUAAGUAGCUUGCCCAUUUGGAUUGCUUUACAUUUUAUUAUAGAGUCAUAAGCAUCCUUUAUAUAUUCUGAAUAUAACUCUUUUAUCAGACAUACAUAUAUAUCAAAUAUUUUUUUCUAAGUUUGUGGUUUGUGUUUUUACUUUUUAUACUGUUUAUUGAAUAGUAGAUUUUAUAUUCAUUUUAUCCAUUCUGUUAUGAUCGAUAUUUUUUGAACUAUGAAAAUAUUGCUAUGUAAAAAUAAAAAAUAUAUUUUCAUCCCGAGUUUCAUAAUUUUAGCUUUCACUCUUAUAUCUGUGAUUCAUUCUGAGUUUUCUUGUAUAGUUUAAAGUCAGAGUGGGUGUUUGUUUGCUUAUUAAUAUAUUUAUAGAUAUUUCUAAUUCUUUCUAGCACCAUUUAUUAAAAAGUCUCUUUUUUUACCCAUUGAAUUAUUUUUUUUAAAUUGUUAUGUCUAAAAUCAAAUUACCAAAUACACAUUGUCUAUUUUGAACUAUUUAUUCUGUUUCAUUGAUUUUUAUGUGUUCCUUUACACCAAUAUCAUUGUCUUAAUUACUGUAGAUUUGUUGGAAAUAUGGGAGUCAAAUUUAAGGAUUUCAAUUUUGUCCUUUUAUCAAGUUGUUUUGGCUGUUCUAGGUCCUUUGCAUUUCCCUAUAACAUUUGGAAUUAGGUUGUCAAUAUUUCCCCAGAAUAAAGCCUGCUGGGAUUUUGAACAGGAUUGCAUGGAAUCUAUAAAUCAAUUUAGUGAGAAUUAAUAACAUAUUAAGUACUCUAAUUGAUGAACAUAGUAUCAUCUUCCAUUUAUUUAGUCUUUGACUUCUCGGAAAUGUUUUAUAGUUUUCAGUGUGUAGGUCUUGAAGUUUGUAAAAUUCUAAGUGUUUUAUGGUUUUGACUGUAAUUGUAAAUACCUCCCAUUGUUCAUUGUUAGUACAUAGAAAUAAAAUAAAUUUUGUAUUAAUUUGUCUCAUGCAAUCUUCUAUACUCACUUCUUUCCAAUAGUUUUAUGUGGAAUUCUUAG